UGGGGAAUUUUGGACAAUGGGCGCAAGCCUGAUCCAGCCAUGCCGCGUGCGGGAAGAAGGCCUUCGGGUUGUAAACCGCUUUUGUCAGGGAAGAAAUCUUCUGAGUUAAUACCUCGGGAGGAUGACGGUACCUGAAGAAUAAGCACCGGCUAACUACGUGCCAGCAGCCGCGGUAAUACGUAGGGUGCAAGCGUUAAUCGGAAUUACUGGGCGUAAAGCGUGCGCAGGCGGUUUUGUAAGACAGAGGUGAAAUCCCCGGGCUCAACCUGGGAACUGCCUUUGUGACUGCAAGGCUUGAGUGCGGCAGAGGGGGAUGGAAUUCCGCGUGUAGCAGUGAAAUGCGUAGAUAUGCGGAGGAACACCGAUGGCGAAGGCAAUCCCCUAGGCCUGCACUGACGCUCAUGCACGAAAGCGUGGGGAGCAAACAGGAUUAGAUACCCUGGUAGUCCACGCCCUAAACGAUGUCAACUGGUUGUUGGGAAGGUUCCUUCUCAGUAACGUAGCUAACGCGUGAAGUUGACCGCCUGGGGAGUACGGCCGCAAGGUU
RNAcentral lists this ribosomal RNA (547 nucleotides) under uncultured bacterium. RNAcentral's name for it is "partial 16S ribosomal RNA". It matches the Rfam family "Bacterial small subunit ribosomal RNA", at positions 355 to 895 of the family's 1533-position model. The record is from RNAcentral.